Molecule: ribosomal RNA, 915 nt
Filed under: uncultured bacterium
Lineage: Bacteria
Description: bacterial SSU rRNA
Rfam family: Bacterial small subunit ribosomal RNA
Source: RNAcentral
GAGUUUGAUCCUGGCUCAGAAUGAACGCUGGCGGCGUGCCUAACACAUGCAAGUCGGAUGUGCCGCAAGGUGCAUGGCAGACGGGUGAGUAACGCGUGGGGAACCUACCUCUUUGUGGGGAAUAACGCUCCGAAAGGAGUGGUAAUACCGCAUGAGACCUUCAGCUGGGAUGCUGGAGGUGAAACCUGGGGACCAGCAAUGGCCUGGGGCAAGGAGAGGGUCCUGCGUCUGAUUAGCUAGUUGGCGGGGUAAUGGCCCGCCAAGGCAUCGAUCAGUAGCCGGCCUGAGAGGGUGAUCGGCCACACUGGAACUGAGACACGGUCCAGACUCCUACGGGAGGCAGCAGUGGGGAAUUUUGCGCAAUGGGCGAAAGCCUGACGCAGCAACGCCGCGUGGGUGAUGAAGGUCUUCGGAUUGUAAAACCCUGUCGUCAGGGACGAAGGUGCACAUGUUAAUAGCGUGUGUGCUUGACGGUACCUGGAGAGGAAGCCCCGGCUAACUCUGUGCCAGCAGCCGCGGUAAUACAGAGGGGGCAAGCGUUAUUCGGAAUUAUUGGGCGUAAAGGGCGCGUAGGCGGUUUUUUAAGUCAGAUGUGUAAUCCCCGAGCUUAACUUGGGAACUGCAUCUGAGACUGGAAGGCUAGAGUACUGGAGAGGGUGGUGGAAUUCCUCGUGUAGCGGUGAAAUGCGUAGAGAUGAGGAGGAACACCAGUGGCGAAGGCGGCCACCUGGACAGUAACUGACGCUGAGGCGCGAAAGUGUGGGUAGCAAACAGGAUUAGAUACCCUGGUAGUCCACGCUGUAAACGAUGAACACUUGGUGUGGAGGGAGUUGACCCCUUCCGUGCCGGAGCUAACGCGUUAAGUGUUCCGCCUGGGGAGUACGGUCGCAAGGCUGAAACUCAAGGAAUUGACGG